CACGUAGGAGGCAAACGUUAUCCGGAUUUACUGGGCGUAAAGCGAGUGUAGGUGGUUCUGUAAGUAGGGCGUGAAAGCUCCCGGCUCAACUGGGAGAGGCCGUUCUAAACUGCAGAGCUAGAGGAUGGUAGAGGGAGGUGGAAUUCCAGGUGUAGCGGUGGAAUGCGCAGAUAUCUGGAGGAACACCAGUGGCGAAGGCGGCCUCCUGGACCAUUCCUGACACUCAGACGCGAAAGCUAGGGUAGCAAACGGGAUUAGAUAUCCGCGUA
Molecule: ribosomal RNA, 269 nt
Filed under: uncultured prokaryote
Description: partial 16S ribosomal RNA
Rfam family: Bacterial small subunit ribosomal RNA
Source: RNAcentral